ACCACAGCGCCUGCAGUUGCCUCUAGCGUGAGAUCAGAGGUAGGCUGGGACCUGCCACUCAAGGAAGUCCUGAAGCUUCUCCAAUGGGUUGGCCCUGGUAAGCAGGGUUCACCAAAACUAAGGGAGCAAUAGCCAGUUUCUGACUGGGGCAUUCUGGCCAGAGCGUGGUGAGGGUGCCUCAUGACUUCAAGCCCCAGAGCAAGAUGAAGAUGCUGUAAAGAGGGAUGAUAUGAGCUGGUGUCUGAAAAGAAACAGGAGGCAUGGUUUGUACACACCCAAAGAGCAAAGGUGGGAGAAAAGGAGAUGACCCAAGAAUGAAUGUAAUAAAUGUCAGGACAAGCACUUCACCAACCGAGCAAUCUCUUCUGAGCCUCAUUGAAGAUUAAAAACAAAUCAUCUAGGGCCAGAGCGAUGGCUCAGUAGGUAAAGCCACACGCUGACAAUCCUGCCAAAUGGAAUCCAGCCUCCAGAGCCCAUGGAGGAGAAAAAGAUGACUCCUAUGAGGUGCCUUCUGACCUACUCAUAAUUGUCAUAACAAAAGCCACCCUCUCUAUAAAAAAUGUAAAAAAAAAAAUAAAAUAAUCAUUUUA
Apodemus sylvaticus (European woodmouse) is the source of this 590-nucleotide long non-coding RNA. RefSeq lists it as uncharacterized. The transcript is spliced from 3 exons. The record is from RefSeq and is a predicted model, not a curated record. NCBI's taxonomy places the organism in Eukaryota, Metazoa, Chordata, Mammalia, Rodentia, Muridae.